AUGGAGAGGGGUGGCUAUGACUCCCAGCGCUUACCCUGUAACUGCUUGUUCUUCUGCAGCAUAGGAAAAAAUGACUUGGUCGAAGGCGCUGACGCCAGCUUUGUUCCCCAGAAAGAAGCGCUGCUGGAAGAUGUCUCAUCUCCUCCGACGUCGGAGAGCCCUUGGGAAGACAUUCCUCCGGUGGGAGCAGAGAGGUCCAUGUGCCAGGGAACGUCGCCCUGCUGCCGAGGUGGGAGUAAUGACAGUGAGACAUCGGGUUUGGACACAAACUUGUGGGAUAUGACCCCAGACCGAAAGCUGAGGCCUUUCAAGGUGGAAAAGCAUGGGUACACCCCAGAGACAGUUUGCUUGCUCUUUGCAGUCGAGCGGUGGAAGGGCAGCAGCCAGGUACGGUGUGUCGCAUCCUGCAGCCCCAGUGCCCCCCAGAUUUAAGCAGGACCCUCAUUUUGGUUUGCGUGGCCAGGUUCUCUCCCCUUCC
Molecule: long non-coding RNA, 478 nt
Filed under: Calidris pugnax (ruff)
Lineage: Eukaryota; Metazoa; Chordata; Aves; Charadriiformes; Scolopacidae
Description: lncRNA (ENSCPUG00000017428.1)
Source: RNAcentral